Non-coding RNA from Ictidomys tridecemlineatus (thirteen-lined ground squirrel), 1058 nucleotides. The record is from RefSeq and is a predicted model, not a curated record. NCBI's taxonomy places the organism in Eukaryota, Metazoa, Chordata, Mammalia, Rodentia, Sciuridae.
CUUCCUGAGGAAUGAAGCCAGCAAUCUAUAGCCUGAGACCUCUCAAACUACACAGAGCACCAAGAGGCCUUGGAAUUUCCUGAGUGACCCAAGCAAAAAUCUUCAUUCUAAUAUGGUGACUCUUGGUAGGCCCCUAGAUAGCCUCAGGUUGAGUGUUAGUUACCGGAAAGACCCAGGCACUAUUGGUGGGUUGAAACUUUCAAUCCCACCUUUGACCUCCACAGAAGGGAGAGGUUUUGAAAAUUGAGUCAAUCGUCAAUAGCUAAUAGGAAUUUGAUCAAUUAUGCCCAUGUGAUUGAAGCAUUUGUGUGUUGGUGAAUACAUGGGAGUACUAGGAGGGUGACGUGCCAGGAAGGGCAUGGAAGCUAUGAGCCAACCCCCAUGUAUUGCACUACGUAUUUCUUCUCUCUGGCAGUUCCUGAGUUAUUUCCUUACAGUAAACCAGUAAACAUAAGCAAAGGAUAUCCCUGAAUUAUGUAAGCCAUUCUAGCAAAUUAUCAACCCUGAAGAUGGUAUCUUUGAAUCCCAAUGUAAGCUAGUCAAUCAAAAAUAGAGCAGGCCUGCCACUUGACUGGCAUCUGAAGUGUGUAGGGUCCUGCUCUCAUUUGGAACUUAAUAGUUGACAUAUGGGGUCUUCACUUACUCAGGUAGUUAGUAUCAGAAUAGAAAUAAAUUUCUGGAUUCCCAGUUGGUGUACAGAGAGUUGGUGAAUUGUUUGAUGUGAGAAUGAACACCCACAUAUUUGAUGUCAGAAGUGGUGUGUGUAAAAACAACUAAGUGCAAACAUGAUGGCACUCUGUCUCUUCUUUCAGUGCUCUCUGAGUGAUCCUUUUCAACUUCUCUUAGUGGUCGCUAUUUGUCUUUCAGAACCCUUUCACUAGAAUGCCCCAGACUACAGGUCUCUCCGUCCUUCAACAGCACUCGCUCUGUGAUCUCAUCCAGUUCCAAGCUUCAGAUAACACAACGUACUACAGGUUUUAAGUGCAUAUCUCCAACCUGUCCCUUGGAUUCCAUAUUUGUCUAUUAGACAUCUCAAAAAUAACACUUCUAAAACUUAA